Long non-coding RNA from Mirounga angustirostris (Northern elephant seal), 497 nucleotides. RefSeq lists it as uncharacterized. The transcript is spliced from 3 exons. NCBI's taxonomy places the organism in Eukaryota, Metazoa, Chordata, Mammalia, Carnivora, Phocidae. The record is from RefSeq and is a predicted model, not a curated record.
UUUUUUUCCUGUCAAGUCUUUGAGAUCCUGUGUGUCUCUAGCCUGUUUCGAUUUGGACUGGCCUCACUUCAAGGACUCGACAGGCACCUGCGGCUUGUGGCUGGUGGCUCACGCGGACAUUACUGCACAGAUCUGAUCAUCGGAGAGCGACCACGGCACCUGAGGCACGGAGAUGCCACUCAGCGAGGGUCGCACCAGGGGCUCCUUUGUUGAACAUCUGAAGACUGAUCUGGCAGAACAGAGUAUGUAAGUCCCCUCCAGAGCUCCUGCUCCAAGGCCAGACCCCAGAAGGUGCCUUCAGGGAUGAAGUGUACCCUUCCGCUUCUUACUCCCCUAAGAAGACGUGGACACACACAGGAAGGGAGGGCAGCUGUGGUUUUAUUUAUUUGAGAGAGAGAGCGUGCACAGAGGGAGAGAGAAGCAGACUCCUUGCUGAGCAAGGAGCCCAAUGCAAGACUCCAUCCCAGGACCCUGAGAUCAUGACCUGAGUCGAAGGC